This 373-nucleotide long non-coding RNA is filed under the name Gossypium barbadense (sea-island cotton). RNAcentral's name for it is "long non-coding RNA (GBAR_LNC017401)". The record is from RNAcentral. Lineage: Eukaryota; Viridiplantae; Streptophyta; Magnoliopsida; Malvales; Malvaceae.
CGGCUUCUGAAAACAAUUUCCAGAAAACAACUUGGUAUUUCCUGACCCUUCCUACCAUUUCCAGAGAAACCAAUCAAAACCCAUAUUUCUGAAAACACACUAACUUUUUCCUUCUUUUUAGCUCAAGCAAACAAGCGGGGAAGUUCGAACACAAAAUUAACCCUAAAGCGGCCAUUAAAGAGGUGCCCUUGAGCAGUAUUUAGAAUUAAACCUUAAAAAUGUACUACUCACGGUAACAUACAAUCGCAAACACCUGAGUAUGGCCUCAAAAUUUUCAUCAUCAUUUGCAGAUGCCGGAUAGGUUCGAAGUUCGAACAGCACACACAAGUAUUCAUCGCACGUAAAAUUUGUAUUCGAUCUUCUCUACAUUUUC